AUACCCUAUUAUUCUUGAUUUAAUUUAAAUUUCUGAACAUUAUAAGUUAUUUUCUUUAAAACUCAAAGAAUUUGGCGGUUAAUUAUUUCUUUUUAGGGGAAUAUGUGUAAUAAUUGAUAUUCCACGAUAGAUUUCACCUGAAAUAUUAUUUGUAUAUCUCUAUUAUUAUAGUGUGUUAAAAAAAUAUAUUUUCUUUUUCUUUUUAAGUUUAACUUUAGGUCAAGGUGCAGUUUUUUUUAGGUAUACAUGUAUUACUGUAAUUAUAAAUGAUAUUGGUUAUUUAAUUAUAAUUUAUUUUAUAUAAAUAGGAUUUAAGAGUAAUUUUGAUUAAUUAAUCUUUAUGAAUUUGUUCU
Molecule: ribosomal RNA, 353 nt
Filed under: Platyjassini gen. n. 1 sp. 1 SK-2013
Lineage: Eukaryota; Metazoa; Arthropoda; Insecta; Hemiptera; Cicadellidae
Description: partial 12S ribosomal RNA
Source: RNAcentral